UCAUUGCACCCCUCAAGCGUAGCUUGGUCUUGAGCCAUCGUCCUUGAGGACGGACUUGAAAAUGAGUGGCGGUCCGAUGUGACUUCAAGCGUAGUAAAAUUUAUCCCGCUUUGGAAGUGCAAAUCGGGAUUUGCCAAAUCCCACCCAUUAUUUUAUCAAUGAUUGACCUCGGAUCAGGUAGGGAUACCCGCUGAACUUAA
RNAcentral lists this unclassified non-coding RNA (200 nucleotides) under soil metagenome. Its description in RNAcentral is "partial contains internal transcribed spacer 2 and large subunit ribosomal RNA". The record is from RNAcentral.